This 1122-nucleotide long non-coding RNA is filed under the name Brassica rapa (field mustard). RNAcentral describes it as "long non-coding RNA (BRAP_LNC000068)". The record is from RNAcentral. Lineage: Eukaryota; Viridiplantae; Streptophyta; Magnoliopsida; Brassicales; Brassicaceae.
UCGAAUGAUCGGAGAUUGUUGAAUUUUCUUUCCAAAGUCAAGAUCAAAAUGGAUCCGAUCAAAAUGGAGAGUUAGUCAAAGGAUCAAAUGGCAUCUUCAAUUAGAGAAGACUAUUCAAAUCAUGCAAGGUGGUGACCAUCUAUCUGCGUGUAAGGUUAGCUACCUGAGCUCAGUAAUUAGUUUUCUCCUCAAACUUAACUUUGUAAUAAUCAUGAUAGCAAACAGUUAAUAAUCAGCUUAAGCAUAAACCCUUCGAAUAUACUUCCGAGUUCCUGUUUUGUAGACUAUAAACAAGGUUUGAGUUGAAACGAUCUUAUGCAGAUUAAAGAACAUCCAUCUACUGGUCAACCACUAAUUCGAUCUUCUUCUUUCAAACCUUUUUCAUUUGUACAAUCUUAUGCAGAUUUGUUCAUGUAAUCAAAUUGGCAAAGAAAGAAAUGAAAAACGAUUAAUAUUAUAUAGAUAGAGAACUCUAAUACAUGCUUACAUCGAAACAUAAGUUGAUAUUACAAAUUAAACUCGAUUGACCUUAAAACAACUACUAUUAAAUACAUAGACUCGUAAUACUGGGCAUACACAAACGCAAUGGUAGUUACCAGUAGAUACACCUCUAUGUCCCUUAGGAAUAAUACUAGACUCGAUAAUAAUAAGGAAAGAAAACACAAAGCGAACCUAUAAUUUACCAGAGCAACAGAGGACUAAAACAGAAUUAAAAAAAAACCAAAGACAAGACACAGAUUACUUUUAGAAUUACAAAAGCCUAAAAAAACAAAUACUUCCUACACAAACACUAAACCCCUAAGAAGAGAAACUAAGACCUGUUAUAAAAGAUAUUUCGACCUUGCCCCUUGAAAAAAUAAGGGAAGAUUCGAAACUGGUUCAUAACGAAGAUGCGUUUCUUCAUCUUCUAGAUUCGUCGUCUGUAGAUGCUUUGUUGUAGAUUAAAAUCGGACGAUCGGUAACACUUGAAACAGAAAUGGAUCAUUGGAGAGACAUACAUGCGACGUCUAGGCGAAGCAGCUUGAUGAUAUGGUUUGUAGCGUCCUUCUUCGUGGUGAAGAAGGCUGGAAGAGGGACGUCGCUCGGAGGCGGCGAGGUCAUGGUCACAGGACCGGCGUAAAA